GCAUUGCAGUUGGUCACCUUUGUUUUGGCAUUAUCCAUAACAACAUUCACUCUUUCCAUUUGCCUCAGGGUCAACCUAAUUGCCCUAUGUGCCACCCCUAUCCCCCCGCUUUGGGCCCCUGUGCAGAGGACACUCCUCACUCCCUUCCAGGAUUUUUGCACCUUUCCUUUCUCCGAACCAAGCGCUUGUGCUAGGACAGAGGUAGCUCCAAGGUGAGGGAACUACGUCAAGAGCUCAGCAACAUUAAACAGUCUUAUCUAAAGACAAAAGUGCCCUGCUCUAUGAAAAAUCCCUGCUGCGAAUAAAACACAGGCACAGACCUGCUUCAAGUUACUGUGGAUAAUAUGAUUUCUUCAUGUUUUCUGGCGAUAAUGGGCCAUCAGCUUUGAGCAGCAGGAAGCGAGGGAGAUAAAAGGCCGGUUCUACUUCACUGAGUUCUGACAAAUAAUGUUUUGGAUAACAAGAAGUGUGCUGUGCCUCGCAUUGUAUUCACUUCCACCGCUGACGGCAUGCAAGGAUGGGCUUUUCUUUAUUUUUGUUCUUUUCAGAAAAGUGCCAUGAAUAAUCUUCAGUAAAAUGCCUAAACUUAGUUUAACUGUCAAAUUUUAUCUUGCAUUUUAGACCGUCCUUAAUUUUGUAUAUUAAAGGGUAUAAUUAUUAAACAAAAAAUGUUUUUUCAAAAAAUGUAACUAGCUUACUAUUACUUCUAUUUUCAUUUGGCCAUU
Long non-coding RNA from Xenopus tropicalis (tropical clawed frog), 725 nucleotides. RefSeq lists it as uncharacterized. The record is from RefSeq and is a predicted model, not a curated record. The transcript is spliced from 3 exons. Lineage: Eukaryota; Metazoa; Chordata; Amphibia; Anura; Pipidae.